UUGGGAUCUUGUCGCGUUGUAAAUAGACAUGGCAAGAUUUUUGUCUGGAAGGCGUGCUGCGUCCUGGUUUGUUGCGUUGGUCAGGGAGUCUGUAAGUAAGCUCGCCAAUUUUGCUUGCGUGUACCAGUCAGGAUUAAUAAGCUUUUGGAUGUAGCUGCAGCUGACCAUGACGACGGCGACGACUUAUCACUAGUUUUAUUAAAGCAACGCCUUGCGUUAUGACUGUAUAUCCAACGAGAAUUCGAAGAUCUGAAUUUGGUUGCACAGACAACUAGAACCUGUAGACGUUGUGCACAUCCUUUGAUUCUAGGAGCUCUUAAUUGUUACUCUGGUAAGUGGUAACUAGAACUGAACUUGCAAGAAGUAGCGCGCAACCUACUAUUCUAAUGGUGUAAUCUGUCGUACUUCAGUAAGUGUUAUUUACGUGUAUGAAGACCAGCGUAAUAUAUGUAUUUAUAAAAC
This is a long non-coding RNA of Macrobrachium nipponense, 462 nucleotides long. RefSeq lists it as uncharacterized. The transcript has 3 exons. The record is from RefSeq and is a predicted model, not a curated record. NCBI's taxonomy places the organism in Eukaryota, Metazoa, Arthropoda, Malacostraca, Decapoda, Palaemonidae.